AUCGAACGCUGGCGGCAUGCCUAACACAUGCAAGUCGAACGGCAGCACGGGUGCUUGCUCCUGGUGGCGAGUUGCGGACGGGUGAGUAAUACAUCGGAACAUGUCCUGUAGCGGGGGGUAGCCCGGCGAAAGCCGGAUUACUACCGCAUACGAUAUACGGAUGAAAGUGGGGGACCUUCGGGCCUCGCGUUAUAGGGUUGGUCGAGGGCUGAUUAGCUAGUUGGUGGGGUAAAGGCCUACCAAGGCGGCGAUCAGUAGCUGGUCUGAGAGGACGACCAGCCACACUGGGACUGAGACACGGCCCAGACUCCGACGGGAGGCAGCAGUGGGGAAUUUUCGGCAAUGGGCGAAAGCCUGAUCCAGCAAUGCCGCGUGUGUGAUGAAGGCCUUCGGGUGGUAAAGCACUGUUGUCCGGAAAGAACUAAUGGGCUCUUAACCAGGCUGGGGAUGACGGUACCGGAAGAAUAAGCACCGGCUAACUACGUG
RNAcentral lists this ribosomal RNA (486 nucleotides) under uncultured bacterium. RNAcentral describes it as "partial 16S ribosomal RNA". It matches the Rfam family "Bacterial small subunit ribosomal RNA", at positions 29 to 507 of the family's 1533-position model. The record is from RNAcentral.